RNAcentral lists this unclassified non-coding RNA (309 nucleotides) under plant metagenome. RNAcentral describes it as "partial contains 5.8S ribosomal RNA, internal transcribed spacer 2, and large subunit ribosomal RNA". The stretch from base 1 to 105 matches the Rfam family "5.8S ribosomal RNA", at positions 50 to 154 of the family's 154-position model. The record is from RNAcentral.
GAAAUGCGAUAAGUAAUGUGAAUUGCAGAAUCUCGUGAAUCAUCGAAUCUUUGAACGCACAUUGCGCCCCUUGGUAUUCCAUGGGGCAUGCCUGUUCGAGCGUCAUUUGUACCCUCAAGCUCUGCUUGGUGUUGGGUGUUUGUCCCGUCUCCGCGCGUGGACUCGCCCCAAAGUGAUUGGCAGCCGGCGUACUGGUCCCGGAGCGCAGCACAUGUCGCGCAAACGAGUGCCUUGGUACGGCGGCGUCCAUAAGCCCCUCUCUCACGCUCUUGACCUCGGAUCAGGUAGGGAUACCCGCUGAACUUAAGC